Molecule: non-coding RNA, 2344 nt
Organism: Phoenix dactylifera (date palm)
Lineage: Eukaryota; Viridiplantae; Streptophyta; Magnoliopsida; Arecales; Arecaceae
Source: RefSeq, a predicted model, not a curated record
AUAAAGCUAGGAGCGUAGGGGACCAAGCAAUCAAGCAAGCAAGCUGGGGUGGAGAAAAUGAGACUCCCCUUGGCUUGCGGCCACCACUACCCACGGCCCCUCUCGCCCCUGCCACCGCCGCCGAUAACAACUAAACGAACGCCGACUUCUCCAUUCCACCGCCCAAAGGCGGUCACCUCCGUCUCCUCCUCCCUCUCCGAUACAUCCUGGCGAUGCCUCCACAAGCUUCUACUCCGAGCGACGGCCGGAGCCCUCUCCUUCUCUCUCCUCGCUUCUCCUUUCCCUUCCCUCGCGGAGGCGGCGGGCCGGCCUGCCGUCCAGCUGUCGCGACCGCCUCCGUCGGAGCUCUGCCAGGACUGGGCGGAGGAGGAGGAGGAGGCGGAGGUGCCGCCGGAGUCGAUCACGAACGAGGGCCUGGUGGAGGAGGCCUGGGAGGUUGUCAACGAGAGCUUCCUCGGCGACGCCGUCAGUCGUUCCUGGUCUCCCGAGAAGUGGCUGAAAAAGAAGCAAGAUUUUCUUCACAAAAGUAUCCAAACAAGAUCUAGAGCUCAUGAUGCCAUUCAAAAGAUGCUGGCCAGCCUAGGUGACCCAUAUACACGGUUCCUUUCUCCUUCAGAAUUCUCAAAGAUGUCCAAGUAUGACGUUACUGGGAUUGGAAUAAAUCUGAGGGAAGUUCCUGAUGGCGAUGGUGCUGUCAAAUUGAAGGUGCUAGGGAUCGUAUUAGAUGGUCCUGCUCAUUCUGCUGGCGUGAGACAGGGGGAUGAGCUCUUAUCAGUUAAUGGUGUGAUUGUAAGAGGAAGAUCAGCAUUUGAUGUAUCCUCAAUGCUACAAGGUCCAAAGGAAACAUUUGUGACUAUAGAGGUUAAACAUGGAAACUGUGGCCCAAUCCAGUCAAUAAAGGUCCAGAGGCAACUUGUUGCUAGAACUCCAGUAUCCUAUCGUCUGGAGAAAAUCGAAAAUGGAGAUGUUUCAGUUGGAUAUGUACACAUAAAAGAGUUUAAUGCGUUGGCAAAGAAAGAUUUGGUUAUUGCACUGAGACGUCUUCUAGAUUCUGGUGCCUCUUACAUGGUUUUGGAUCUUAAGGAUAAUCUUGGUGGACUAGUGCAGGCUGGGAUUGAAGUUGCUAAGCUUUUCUUGGACAAAGGAGAAACAAUCACUUAUACUGUUGGCAGAGAUCCCCAGGUUCAGAAAAGUAUUGUUGCGGACACUGCACCUUUUGCUACCACUCCUCUCAUUGUCCUCGUGAAUAACAGGACUGCAAGCGCAAGCGAAAUUGUUGCUACAGCACUUCAUGAUAACUGCAAAGCGGUUCUGGUGGGAGAAAGGACUUAUGGCAAGGGUCUAAUACAAUCUGUUUUUGAGCUUCAUGAUGGAUCUGGUGUGGUAGUCACUAUAGGGAAGUACGCGACCCCAAAUCACUUGGACAUCAAUGGAAAUGGAGUAGAACCUGAUUUUCCACGCCUCCCAGCUCUUAGUGAAGUCAGAAAUUAUCUUUCGCGUUGCCAAACUCCAUGGAUGGGAUAAAUACAGAUCCAGACUUUUUGAAGCUUUGCUUGUAGCACCAUCAUGAGAUCCUGAGUUCUAGUCUUGGAUGUCUUGUUCUAUUUAGUUAAUCAUAAGAAGGAGGCCUCACGACUGGUCCAUCUCCUUGGCCGCCUUGUACCCUAAUGCCGUCUUCAACUAUAUUUAUACCGCGCACUCGUGUAUGCGACUCCAUGUCUCUUCAACUAGUCAAAUUUACGAGUGAGGCGCAUAUGCUAUUUGAAUGCAAACAAUUAUAGGAAAUUAUAUGCACAUCUAUUGGGCAGUGAAAACUAGUCAUUUGAGAUUGUGAGGUUAUUAACUUUCCAUUAGCUUCUGUCGUGCGGUUCAUGAAACAUCAGAUUUCAUUCUUCAUUUUUUGUUUGCUUAUGAAGUAUCAUCGCAAAAGAAGUGAGGAUUUAUCCACUCAUCCUGGUGCAUUGUUUGGAUACAGCUAGUCUGGUUGGCCACAACUUACAAUUUUCUCAGCAACAUUUGAAUCUGACAAACCGAUGAAAGUGGUCAUCGUGGCAGCUCCUUGUUUGCUAUCAGAUGCUGCAAAUGUGUUACAGCCAUAAUUUUCGAGCAGCACUGGAAAUCCACUUGAGGGUUGCAAGCAGUGGAUGCGCUCCUUCUCAUUCCUGCAUAUUUUUUAAGCACAGUUUGCUUUACACUGAGAAAUCACAAGCGUAUGUGCUGGGCCACAACAGUGCAACUUUUCAGACUUUGGCGAUCAUUUUCUGGAUGAGGUCGUUGUUCAAGUCUAUUUGUUUAGUUGUAAUGACACUCAUAUUAGUUGAUUGCACACUUUCAAAUUUGGCCU